Molecule: unclassified non-coding RNA, 336 nt
Filed under: soil metagenome
Description: partial contains 5.8S ribosomal RNA, internal transcribed spacer 2, and large subunit ribosomal RNA
Rfam family: 5.8S ribosomal RNA (bases 1-120)
Source: RNAcentral
GAUGAAGAACGUAGCAAAAUGCGAUAAGUAGUGUGAAUUGCAGAAUUCAGUGAAUCAUCGAAUCUCUGAACGCACAUUGCGCCCCUUGGUAUUCCAUGGGGCAUGCCUGUUCGAGCGUCAUUUGUACCUUCAAGCUUUGCUUGGUGUUGGGUGUUUGUCUCGCCUUUGCGUGUAGACUCGCCUUAAAAUAAUUGGCAGCCGGCGUAUUGAUUUCGGAGCGCAGUACAUCUCGCGCUUUGCACUCAUAACGACAGCGUCCAAAAGUACAUUUUACACUCUUGACCUCGGAUCAGGUAGGGAUACCCGCUGAACUUAAGCAUAUCAAUAAGCGGAGGA